CAGCAGCCGCGGGAAUACGAAGGGGGCUAGCGUUGUUCGGAAUCACUGGGCGUAAAGGGCUCGCAGGCGGUUUCUUAAGUCUGAUGUGAAAGCCCCCGGCUCAACCGGGGAGGGUCAUUGGAAACUGGGAAACUUGAGUGCGGAAGAGGAGAGUGGAAUUCCACGUGUGGCGGUGAGAUGCGUAGAGAUGUGGAGGAACACCAGUGGCGAAGGCGACUCUCUGGUCUGUAACUGACGCUGAGGAGCGAAAGCGUGGGGAGCGAACGGGAUUAGAUACCCCCGUAGUCCCUGUCUCUUAUAA
RNAcentral lists this ribosomal RNA (301 nucleotides) under uncultured bacterium. RNAcentral's name for it is "partial 16S ribosomal RNA". It matches the Rfam family "Bacterial small subunit ribosomal RNA", at positions 509 to 809 of the family's 1533-position model. The record is from RNAcentral.